This 340-nucleotide long non-coding RNA is filed under the name Physcomitrium patens. RNAcentral's name for it is "long non-coding RNA (PPAT_LNC012134)". Lineage: Eukaryota; Viridiplantae; Streptophyta; Bryopsida; Funariales; Funariaceae. The record is from RNAcentral.
CGUAGGCAGGCUCGACCUCAAAUACAAUUACUAGCGAUCUGUUGCUCGGUAUCCUCCGACGUCGUCGUGGUGCAGGCGGUUCUUCAUCUCGCGAUCGUCUUCGUGAGCUAGUCGCUUGAGAUGACAUAACAAGUGUAGUAUCUUGACUAUCCAUGUCCAAAGGCUAAAAUGAUGAGAGCAAACUAUAGUUGCUAACAAAGUUCUAUACUAUCGAACUAUGGGUUUUGGAGGUGCCCUCCCCCCUUUUUAUGCUACUUGAUGAGCAAGCUUCAGCAAGAAGCUAUCGUUGAAUCGGCUUAGGUUUAUGAGGAUAUCGUUGAUGAAAUUCUUGUACCUUUUU